UUCCCCCCAAAUAUCAAUCCCAAUUCAGUGAUUCACGCCAAAAGUAAAUUGUGUCCCUCCCUCUCUCUAGAUCUCUUGUUCUAAACCCCAAAUCAUUGUAUCAUCUGUCCCUCUCUCGGUUCAUAUCGCUAUAAUCUUGCAAUUCUAGAAUGAUAUUUUAGAAUCUCUAUUACCAACACAAGGAUCUUCCUAAUUUUUGUACUCCUUAAGCAGGUAUAUUCUUUAUUUCUUAUUUUAUUGUUAAUCUCAGUUAUUUGUUUGCUUUCAUAAAGAGUGAUCUGCGUAAUAGCAUUGGUGGUGUAUUAAUUAGAUUUUUUUUUUUUUACAAUUUUAUUAUCUUUGUUAUUGAAUAUUUAGUACAAUGUUAUGAGUUAUGAUUCUUCUCAUAUUAUUAUUUUAUUUUCUUGGAAAAUAUAUUAUAUAGUUGUAUCCUACUAUGACUAAAAUAAAUAUUUGGAGAAUAAUAUACAUAUUUUGUGCUAUUACAAAUUUACUGGGAAAAAACCCGAAACCCGAGAUUGAAAAACCUGACUUUAUUGGUUUGGUUUGGUUUAUAAAUUUAAAAGCCCGAUACUAUUGAUUUGGUUUGGUAAUUAAAAAAUCUGAACCGACCCGAUCUACAUACACCCCUACUUUGAAGAUGUUUGGUGCACCCAUCCUCUCAAAUUCCUGGAUUCGACUCUGAUCAUAUAGCUAAUCUACCUGUGUAAUUCAUUCCGACAUUUAGUAAAAAUCUGCUCUUAUCAAGAUCAAUAAGUUGGACCUACGUCGUAUGUGUUUUGUGAUUGUUUAAAAUGGCCAUAGACCUGAAUUGUUUGUUAGAAAUCAUGCGUUUAGGAAAUAAUAAAGGUCAUUAGGAAAUAAUAAAGGUCAUUAAGUAAUUGAAAAUGAAAAACGGCUUCUAUAGCAAAGUCAGUUUUAUUUCUUCCUUUUCGGAAGAAAACAAUUAAAAGAAUUGCUUAACCAAAUAAAAAAAAAAGACUAAAUACUGGAGUUCCUUACAUAUCUUUUUUAACAAUCUUUUAUUUCUUGGUCACGUGCACGGCACACCGAAGUAGGCGUCAGCAUUUUUCCUAUCUUAUUUCCUCGUAAUAGUGACGAGUACUAGAAUCCCAAUACAAAAGGCGGUCCAUUUCGUAAGUGUCUGGUUUUUCCCUGCAAAUGGAUUUUCCUAUAAAAUGGAGUAGUAGACAAAAAGAUUCUGUCUUUUCAUCUCCCUCAUUCUGACAAAAGAAAGGGGCCGCUGUAAUCAUAACUUUUCAGUACAGAGUUGCAGAGUUCUUUUGGCUUGUCAUGGAAGCUAUAAACCUCCUCCAGUCAUUUUCAAUCGUACACUGGAUUAAAGCCGCUUCUACAUUCAUGCAAACUUUUUAUUUUAAUUUCCUAGAAUAUUAUAAUUAAAUGAUGCUAGAGCCAAAGAUCCCUGUUAUGUCACUCUAAACCCACAAUUGCUUCAAGUCAUAUUUAUAAAAAAAAAAUCAUCAGAAAAUAAGCACCGGUUGAUAUGCUUCAAACCCCGCUGCAGAUCUGCAUGAAAUCAAAAUUAUAUCCGAUAUCUACGCAAAAUUCACGCCUCGUAUGUAACGACGGUUUAACACGUCAUAUGCAUGUUUAAAGUGGGAUCAUGGUCACUACGCACUUAGCAUGAUCGCAAUCAUAUUUGUUGUAUCUACUGUAUAAGCCGACCUGUAUUCCCACCUCUUAGGAAGGGACGACAACUUACUGUGUGAUCCUUUAAAAUAACGGGCGUAUCCUGCCUUGUUUUCGUACCCAUACGCACUAUGUAAUUUAUGAACAAAUAUGACAUGUUUCCCUUAUUGUUUGCGCAUAUCGGACGAGAUCAGAUUGGGAUUCGGUUUCGAGAUCCCCACAGACAAUAUAGGUUCACCCCACGAGAAACCUAGACACGACUAACGACGAAGCCAAACACGGCUACCAAAUGCGAAACCACCAUUUGAGCACGGGACGAAGCAAGUAGCCCUACAGCGCCCUUCCCCCUUCACCGAUUUACCAGGUCAAGGUAACAUGCAAUUUCGUUUAGGUUUAACUUAUCAUACUUUCUCUCUUUUUGGUUCGGGAUAGGAACACGAGCAUUCUCACAGGUGCACGAACAAGGAACGAACGCCACCGAACACAUCAGGAAAAUGUUCCGUACCAUAUCAUCUGCAAUCAAUGACCGAGAAAAGCCCUUUGUGUCGUACCUAUUACAAAUAACAGAAACGACUUAGAAUGGGCCGACAUUAUUUAGAAAUUAUCUCCGGAAUCUGGGACUAAGCAAUAGGUCCAUGAAACGUACAAUCUCUCCAAUAUCGGCAGAACAUGAGCUCGAAAAACUUGCACGUAUGCUCGCCACGACAAUCCUAUGCCAAAUUAGCCGACUAAAUAUUAUGAGUCACGUGUUUGAAUUGAUGAAAGUCCCAGAGUUCCCAGUAACCCAAGCAAUAAGUUCGUCGUCUAUCUGGCCAACAGCUUCUCCAAGCCUAGCAACGAAAGAACCAGAUAAAUCAGGACUCCGCUGACAUAUACAAAGUAUGCAACGACGCAUGGUACUCUCCAAUGAAAGCAAAAUUGAACAAACCGAGACUCACCCCGACGCACGCAUAAACAAUGCGGCAACGAGUAAUGUUUUCCAAUAAAAGUAAUGCAAUGAACAAAUAUCACUAUCUCUCCAAACCCGCACGUCGCCAGGUGAAGAGAAAGUUCGACGUCGCUCGAAUUUACACCCUUACGGCCAUCGGUCAUCGCCAAGUGAAGAGAAAGUUCGACCUCACUCGAACUCAUAAUGGGUUGCAAUUUCGACCUCGCUCGAAUUUACACCCUUACGGCCAUCGAUCAUCGCCAAGUGAAGAGAAAGUUCGAUCGCGCUCGAACUCACAACGAGUUAUAAUUUCGACCUCGCUCGAGUUUACACCUUUAUGUCCAUCGGACGUCGUCAAGAUAAAAGAAAGUUCUACCUCGCUCGAACUCACAACGGGUUACGAUUUCGACUUCGCUCAAAUUUAUACCCUUACGGCCAUCGGCCAUCGCCAAAUGAGUGAAAUUCAGUCUCGUUCCAAUUUGUAAUGGGUAACAAUUCGACCUCAGGUCGUAAUCCCGACUUCGCUCGAAUUGAUGCUCUUACAUCCCCUGGCCAUCACCAAGCGGAAGUAAUGCACAAUCUUACAAGUCAAAACUGAUUUCGCCCAAGUUGGUAAGUCAAACUUCGACCUUGCUCAAAUUUACAAGUCGAAACUGACAUCACCCGAGUUGGCAAGUCUGACUCCGACCUCACUUAAAUUAAGCCAGGUAAAACCGCAUUCGAAUUCCCAAUCAAGAAUCAGGGACUCAUCGCGUGGAAAUCCGAUCUUUUUCAAAAAAGAAAGAGAAAGAAUGUCAAAAGAUACAUUGCCAAAGGCAAAACGACUAUUUUAUUCAGGAGAUGUGCAUGCGCAACAGUCACGCCUUAGAAAGGGCCAAUAGAGGGCCCCCAAGAAAAAAUGAAAACAAACCACACAAAAAAACCUGAGUACAAGAGGUGCAAAAAUUUCCUCACUAAGCAUCAUUUCCACCGAUGUUCUCUCCAGCAUCAUCGUCAUCAGAAGGAAGCUCACCUUCAAUCUCACCAUCCUCGCCGACAUGUCGCAGGGUCAUAACCACAGGCUAGACGAGCCUCGCGUGCCUUUGCACGAGCAUCAUUAAAACGGCCUCAGUAACGCUCCCCGCCUCCCACAAACCCUUAUAUAUAUCAUGUUGGGCCUCAACAUGGACCCAUAGCUCAUACAGACGGCGAGGAACAGUAGCAGAGGCAGAUUCUUAAGGGGGAGCUUAAGCCAAUAACUGCGUCUUCUCGGCCUUAAGAGUUGCAACUUGGUUUCCCAAGCUCGAAGCGUCCCGAUAAAGUUCACCAAUUUGCUCCUCAAGUCGCGCCUCCCUCAGCAUGGCCGUCGCCCUCUCAUAUUCCUGCUCAGACUUGAGGACGCGGAUAUUGUCUUUGUAAUGACCCGAUCGGACGUUUUGAGUUUUUGCACUUCACUCGCCAAUUUCCGAGCAUGAAUAGCUCCGUGCGAUGUAUUAUGACUUGUGUAAAUCGUCGGUUUUGGUUUUCAGGGUAAUCGGAAUGGAUUUGGAAGAACAGUUCUUAGUUUGAAGCUUACAAUUUGAAAUGUUUGACCAAGUUUUAUCUUUUUAGUAUUCGAUCUCGGAUUUGGGUUUCUAUGAUUUGAUUAACUCGUUAGGUGAUUUUGGACUUGGGAGCGCGUCCGGAAUGUAUUUUGGAGGUCAGUGGUAGAUUUAGGCUUGAAUUGGUGAAAUUGGAAUUUUGGCAUUUUCCGGUUGGUAGCGGAGAUUUUGAUAUAGGGGUCGGAAUGGAAUUACGAAAAUUGGAGUAGGUUAGUUGUGUCAUUUGUGACGUGUGUGCAAAAUUUCAAGUCAUUCGGACGAGGUUUAAUAAACUUUUGAUCGAAAUUGAAAUUCGGAAGUUUUUGGAGUUCUUAGGUUUGAAUCCGUUGAUGAUUUGAUAUUUUGAUGUUGUUCUGAGUGUUCCAAAGAUUGGAACAAGUUUGAAUGAUAUUAUGGGAUAUGUUGGCAUGUUUGGUUGAUGUCCCGAGGGCCUCGGUUGAGUUUCGGAUGCUCAACGAGUCGUUUUUUUACUUAAGGAGUUGCUGGUUUGCUGGUGUUUUGCAACUAGUAUGUUCUUCAUCGCGAUCACGGGAGGAGGUCACGAUAACGUAAGGCAAAUAGGAGGCCAGAUGGGCUAACUCUUCACUUUUGCAGAGAAAGGGACGUGAACGCGUAUGUCAGUUAAGUUGUGCAACGUGAACGCGUGGGUCAGGGCACGUUCGCGUAGAAGAAACAAGGCGGCAGAGGAAUCUGGUGUUACCCUUCGCGUUCGCGUGGGGUCAAUCGCGAUCGCGUAGCUCAGGGGAACUGCUGCAUCGCGUUCGCAUGUGGGUUAACACGAUCGUGCAGAGUAAAUAAUGUCUUUGGUCAUAUAAAUUAUGUCAUAUAGUCGUAUACAGUAAUUUAUUUGUUCCGGUUAUGUAGUUCUUCUUACUUCUUCUAAUAUAUCGCACAUACUUUAUCUUGACUUUAUAUUUUUUAUUUUCUUUAUGUGCAGUAGUUAAUUGUUCUGGCUUAUAUAUAUUUUCUUUUUUAGGUAAAAUUUAUAAAUAAUUAAAUAACGUGAUCGAAACUCCAAAACUUUUGCCAAUUAUUGGAGUUUCAAGUAUGCAUUUGUUUUUUCAGAUACUAUAAAAUGUUUAUUUUAGUUGUCUACUUAUUUCUUUGGGCAAAUUCUUAGAAUAUGGCUUGAGCCCAUUGAUUUUUGCCGAAAAUAUUUUUGUUGUCAAAAUACAACAAAAAUGCAAUGAUGAUUUGUUUAAACUGUGAAUUCAAAUGUUGGAUCACAUACAGAAGCGGAUCUGCAUAACAAAUGGUGGUGCCGGUGACCCCAUGCUAAUCCCACAAAAUUUAAUUUAUUAUAUAGAUAAUUCACUUAAUAUUUAUAAAAGUACUUACUGGCCCCAUAUGGUCAAAAAUGGGUCAAAGGUGCACUAGUUGGGCUUUUUCUUUAUUUCCUCAAUUGGCCCCCAUUCCUCUAUUUUAUUUGUUUUGCACGAUAGCAUCAAUGUAUUAUUUCUUUUUAAUUUUUUAAUGCCAAAUAUCAAUUAUUCCCCCCAAAUAUCAAUCCCAAUUCAGUGAUUCACGCAAAAGUAAAUUGUGUCCCUCUCUCUCUAGAUCUCUUGUUCUAAACCCCAAAUCAUUGUAUCAUCUGUCCCUCUCUCGGUUCAUAUCGCUAUAAUCAUGCAAUUCCAGAAUGGUAUUUUAGAAUCUCUAUUACCAACACAAGGAUCUUUCCAAUUUUUGUACUCCUUAAGCAGGUAUAUUCUUUAUUUCUUAUUUUAUUUUAAUCUCAGUUAUUUGUUUGCUUUCAUAAAGAGUGAUCUAUGUAAUAGCAUUGGUGGUGUAUUAAUUAGAUUUUUUUUUUUACAAUUUUAUUAUCUUUGUUAUUGAAUAUUUAGUACAAUGUUAUGAGUUAUGAUUCAUCUCAUAUUAUUAUUUUAUUUUCUUGGAAAAUAUAUUAUAUAGUUGUAUCCUACUAUGACUAAAAUAAAUAUUUGGAGAAUAAUAUACAUAUUUUGUGCUAUUACAAAUUUACUGGGAAAAAACCCGAAACCCGAGAUUGAAAAACCUGACUUUAUUGGUUUGGUUUGGUUUAUAAAUUUAAAAGCCCGAUACUAUUGAUUUGGUUUGGUAAUUAAAAAAUCUGAACCGACCCGACCUACAUACACCCCUACUUUGAAGAUGUUUGGUGCACCCAUCCUCUCAAAUUCCUGGAUUCGCCUCUGAUCACAUAGCUAGUCUACCUGUGUAAUUCAUUCCGACAUUUAGUAAAAAUCUGCUCUUAUCAAGAUCAAUAAGUUGGACCUACGUCGUAUGUGUUUUGUGAUGCGUUUAGGAAAUAAUAAAGGUCAUUAGGAAAUAAUAAAGGUCAUUAAGUAAUUGAAAAUGAAAAACGGCUUCUAUAGCAAAGUCAGUUUUAUUUCCUCCUUUUCGGAAGAAAACAAUUAAAAGAAUUGCUUAACCAAAUUAAAAAAAAAAAGACUAAAUACUGGAGUUCCUUACAUAUCUUUUUUAACAAUCUUUUAUUUCUUGGUCACGUGCACGGCACACCGAAGUAGGCGUCAGCAUUUUUCCUAUCUUAUUUCCUCGUAAUAGUGACGAGUACUAGAAUCCCAAUACAAAAGGCGGUCCAUUUCGUAAGUGCCUGGUUUUUCCCUGCAAAUGGAUUUUCCUAUAAAAUGGAGUAGUGGACAAAAAGAUUAUGUCUUUUGGGAAGAAACUAUUUUUUCUUCUUCUCCGAAAGUGCUUCUAUUUCUAUUCAAAAGUAUUUUUUUUUUUUAAAAGUUUGGUCAAACAUAUUAACUUUGAAAAAAAAAUGGACUUAAUCUUGGAGAUGCUUAGCCAAACAGGCUAUUAGUUCUAUCUCUCAAAUUUGAAAGUAAUUUUGUAUCUAAUUGUGAAGGAAUAAUAUUUUAAAUUACAGUAUUGAUUAAUUGUUUUACUUUUAGAGAGGAAAAUGUGUAGUUUGAUACUAAUAGUUUUUAAAAAAUUAUAAUUUUUUAAUUAUUUGAAUGUUAAGUAGGAUUGAUUUGUAUCUCACAUUAACUUUAAGACUAUUGCAUUAUUAAUAUAUGUAAAAAGGCUAGAAACUUUAUUUUCUAUAAGUUUCUUUAAUCCUUUUCAAUUUUAUUAAUUUUAAUGUACUUUAUAUAUUUUUUGUGUUAUUAUGCUAUUUUAUUAAUUUAUAAAUUAGAAAAUUUAAAGAUUCAUGGGGCAUGUACCUCGGGCUUUCGCCUCGCUCCAUAUUAAGUAAAACGCUCCGCCUCACGCCCCUGCCCUUUAAAACACUGUUUAGAAUAUGAAACUAUACUGGAAACCAGUCAAUUCUUCUUCCAUUCUUUUUUCUUCCUUUCUUUAGGGUAACAAAAUACAAUCGGAAAAAAAAAAGAGAAAAGAGAAAAAUGUAUAUAUCUUCUGCAAGUCAAAACUACUGAAAAUGAAGAAAUAAGAGAAGUUGAAAAGGUAUUUAUCAAAACAUGCAUACCUUGAGAAUUUGAAGAAGUUUCUCUUCGUCUUUUAGUUCCAUGUUGAUUUUGUUCGAGUAAUUUUCUUCUUCUUUUUGUAGUCUCCCUUUCUUCUUGAGUGGCUUCUAAUCCUACAUGCUCAUCUUCCAUAUCUUUAAUCAGUUUUUUGAAAUACCCAAGAAUUUCAGAGGAGAGUAUUUAGUGGAGGCCUUUCAGAUACUUGGCUCUUUUAGGCUUUGCAAAACUUAGUUUAUAAGUAUUUCUUUAAUGAUCGAUCGAAAUACAUAUCAGCAGGAACAAGAAAAUGGUGGAAGUAAAAGUGUCAAAUACGUGCAUUAUUUGGAUUCUUUUCCGUGAUCGAGCUGAAACUUUUUAGAACAUCUGUUUUCAUAGUAUUAUUUUGGACGACUAAUCUUCCCACUUUUAGUUUGUUGUAUUAAAGUUAUAAAUAUAAAUUCAAUAUUUGAAUCCAACUAUAAUCACGUAUAAUAUAAAUGUCACAUAUAAUUACAUUAGUAGACUCUCUUCCCACUGCUCACCUUAUUUAAUAUCUAUCAUAAAAUUUAAUUUUGACCAACAAAAAAAUAAAAUAAAAAAUGCAUGAUAUGUGAUGUUUGGCCAUAAUUCUAUAUUUUUAGUACAUUACUCGCCUUACAUUCUGUUAGUUUAGUGGUUAAUUAUGCAACGUUUGGGCUAAUUAUGUUGUUUUAUGUGUAGGAUCAUCGGAAGACAAAGACGAGUGAAGGUUGCACGAAAAGAGGACGAAAAUACAAGAAAAGAGCACAAAUGCACGACGUACCCAAGCCUGGCACUAGGCCAGGCAUUGCCAGCUUCAAGGCGCACUCCAUCGCGCGAUAAGCCUCGCCUCGUGAGAUUCAGGCGCACUACAAGCCUGGCCCCGCAAGGUCAGGCGCCCGAUGGCCAUCUGUUCACAAAUUAAAAGUACUCCGACCCGGAUUUGGACUCAAGGACCUCGACCCUAACAUAUAAAUAUUCAAUAAGCGAGUUGAGAAAGGGUUGGACAUUAUUUGGAGGCAAAAAGACAUUGUAAAUCAAUUUCGGAGGAGAUAAUCAUAGAGUUCUUCAUCCU
Molecule: long non-coding RNA, 8655 nt
Filed under: Nicotiana tabacum (common tobacco)
Lineage: Eukaryota; Viridiplantae; Streptophyta; Magnoliopsida; Solanales; Solanaceae
Description: long non-coding RNA (NTAB_LNC018790)
Source: RNAcentral